This 6885-nucleotide long non-coding RNA is filed under the name Sus scrofa (pig). RNAcentral describes it as "lncRNA (ENSSSCG00015035527.1)". Lineage: Eukaryota; Metazoa; Chordata; Mammalia; Artiodactyla; Suidae. The record is from RNAcentral.
UUUUUUUUUUUUUUUGUCUUUUUAGGGCUGCACCUGCGGCAUAUGAAAGUUUCCAGGCUAGGGGUCGAAUCAGAGCUGUAGCUACCAGCAUACACCACAGGCAUAGCAACGAGGGAUCCGAGCCGUGACUUCAAACUACACCACAGCUCACGGCAUCGCCAGAUCCCUAACCCACUGAGUGAGGCCAGGGAUUGAACCUCAUGGAUACCAGUCAGGUUCAUUAACCACUGAGCCACAAUGGGAACUCUGCUUUGUCCCUCUUUAGUUUUGUGACCGUGGUGCUGUUGAAUGGUCUCAUUAAUGUUAGAAAUAGGCUAAGUUAAUGCUAGCUACUCUAAUAGAGAAAGUGUAAUCUCAGCAGCAGCUCAGCACUGGGAGUUUUGUUUCUGUUUUUGUUUCUUUUCCUCAUCCAUGCCAAGAUCUGCAUAGGUCAGUGGGAAGCUCUGUACCACAGUUAUUUAGGAAACGAGGUACCUUUUAUUGUCAACAAAUGACUUAAUUUAGGCUUUCCUGGCACUGGCUGUUGAGCAGAGGGCAAGUGAGAGGCAUGAAAGAAGUCAUACUCUCUUGUGCACAUAGCAUUGCCAUUGCCACUGCAUUGAUAUCCCACUGAUGAAACCUGGGCAUUUGGCCACACAUGGAUUCCCAGGGCUAGGAAAUGGGUUAGCUGCGUGCUCCAGGAGAAAAGCAAAUGGAUUUGGUAAACCUCUAUUUGGUCUGCUAUACUCAGCUUACAGUUAUAAAAUGGUAAUAAUAAUAAUACUAUCUCAUUUUAUCUCAUUGAGUUGUUUGAGGAUCUGACCAAUAUAAACUGCAUAUGCUAGUGCCUGACGCAUAGUCAGUGGCUCACUGUACCUUCGCCGAGACUGUUUCUCAAGCAGGAAGAUGGGACAAAGUAAGGAAGGACAAGAUGGAGUUUUCAGCAAAGAGGCUAAGAAAAUAUUAUAAAAACAUGUCUCGCAACACAGGGGGAGAGUAGUCUAGUUGCUGGUUGUUAAGAAAUUGGAUUCUGAGUAUAGACUGGGAUUCCAGCACUUUUGAGCUAUUCCCACCACCAGACUUGGAUGUGUCUCUUCUCCCUGGGCUUUAGCAUUCUUGUCUGUAGAAAUGGGAAGAUGGUCAUUAAAUCUUAUUGUAGAGUGCAGUAAGGAGAGCAGACACUAAAGAAUAGGUUUUGUGCAGACUCCUUGGUAGGCACUGAAGCCCUGCUCAAGGGUAGGGAAUAGUAUUCCUGCGAAAGAAAACAGCGUGGGCAAAGAUUCUGAGGCUGGCAAGAGCUGGGCCAUUGUAGCUGAGGGGAGUGGCAGGCAGUGAAAUAUGGAGGGGGAUGCAGAGAUGUGCAGGUUUUUAUCGGCCUCUGUGAGAAAUUUAGAUUUUCUCCUAAUUGCUCUGGGAGGCUGUAGGAGGGUUUCACUAGAUUAGAGACAUGAUCUGACGUGUUAAAUCUCCCUCUAACUACUGCGUGGGGAAUGUACUCAGCAGAGCCAAGAACUGAUGCCAGGGACAUGGCCAGGCUGUAUAAUCCAGGAGUGUGUUGCUGGUGGACUGGCCCAGGACUUCAGUGUUGAGCUGUGGGGAAGAGUAUGGCUGGGGACGUGUUAGAAAGCAGCGCUAACAGCGUGUGUGGAUGUACAGAUGGUUGGGAUAAGGCAGUGAACUCCAGGGAAUGGUUUUCACAUCUCUGUCGUUAAACGCCUACUACAUGCACGGGACUGCAGGGCAUGUCCUAUUCUCAUGUUUAGAUUUCUGAGUCAGCACCCAGGAACACGUUGAGUGACUGGGUGAAGCCAAAGGCUUCUGGAGCACAGAAAAGGUGCGAUUCUUCCCCGUCUCCGUAAGCAUUAUGUGCAUGGUUCAUUUUUCCGUGGUCUUGUUUCUCUGACUCAGAAGGGUCUUGGCCCUGCCCAGGUUAGAUGCUGCUGGUCAGGAGACCAUGUGCAUGGUGGCCAGAACUGCAGCUCUGUGGGGCACUACGCCCAGCUACUUAUCAGACAUUAUCCUGGGCAGCUUGAUUUCCUUCUCUGUAAACCGGCCUCCCUCCAGGCUGCUAUGUAGAUUAAAGGACAUUGUCUGUACAUGUAUAUAUGCUUGAUAUAUGAAUAUGCUUAAUAAACAGGAGAUACUUUUGUAGUUAUUAUCCCAUAUGGUUUUCCUCCUUUGUACUAACCUUUCCCCACGUCCCAUCUCCCUCACCAGAGAAUGCUUCUGACUUAAGGAUUUUCUGGAUAAAACCAUAUGUACCACAGUUUUCUAAUGACAUUUCAGCUGGCUUUAGGCCUUAAGUACCUUGGUCAUGACCCUGAUGAUCUCCAGCAUAAGAUCUUGACAUCCCACCAGCCAAACCCAGGACAUCCCUGCCCAUCCCCUGGGUCUUUUUCCACAGGUGGCAGCUGGGGAUAACAUGGAAUUAAUUGUGCUUUAAAUGAAAAUUUAAGUUCACUGAUGAAAAUUAAAUCCCUCAUAAAGGGCGUUUGGGGCCAAUAAAAAUCACUGGCUGCUAAUUUGAACAUAUUUCUCUCAUAUGCACUUAAUGUAAUAGUUGAUAUAUUUAGCCUUAAAUAUCCUUUUAUUUUGAAGACAUCUUUGCCUCACUGUUUCCUAGGUAGUAAUUUUUUUGUUUCUAUCGAUUACUUAUUUACAAUCAAGAUUUUCUUUCUUCUAGUUCGAAAGUGUAUGCACUGACUCUUAGUAUGGUUUAAGCUAAAAAUUACACUUAUUUAACACGAUAGAACAAAAGGUUUCAGGAGUUCCCAUUGUGGCUCAGCAGGUUAUGAACCCGACUAGAAUCCAUGAGGAUGCAGGAUCAAUCCCUGGUCUCAAUCAGUGGGUUAAGGAUCCGGCGUUACUGCAGGCUGCAUCGUAGGUCACAGACGUAGCUUGGAUCUGGCAUGGCUGUGGCAUAGGCCAGCAGCUGCAGCUCUGAUUCAACCUCUAGCCUGGGAACUUCCAUAUGAUGUAGGUACGGCACCUCCCCCCAGAAAAAGAAAGAAGAGGGAGGUUUCAAAUACUUUACUUUCCUCUUGUACAAUAUUGGGACUUAGAACAUUAAUCAUUUUGUCCCAUUUGUGUGUGUAUGUGUGCUAUUGAGACAGUAAGUGACAAUGCUAUUGUUCUAACUUCGUAAUAGAAUGUUAUCCAUGUCUUACACAGAUAAUGAGCAUCUUUUAAAUCCACAGAUGCAUCUCUCUCUUGGAUCCUCGUUUCUUCCAACAUCGCAGAUCUUUCAUCUGGGAUCACUUUUCAUCCUCUUUGAAUAGAAAAUCCUUAAAUAGGAAUUUUGUUUUAUGCAGGUUCAUUUUACAUUAAAUUUUCUCAUUUAUGACUUGAAAUAGUUUUAUUUCAUACUCUUUCUUCAAGGACACUAUUGAUGCGUUUAGAAAGUUAGGUUAACACAUUUCUUCCUCAGUCUGUAUAGGUCCCUUCCACUGUGUCCCUGAACCACAACUGUGUUAUCAUAUCCUCCAGGUCUGAGGUUAGGUUAGGAAGAGAAAUCCCAACAUCAGCGGAGGCAAUGACUGAGUGGGCUUUAGGAUUGUCACAUUAAAAGGAUGAGAGUGUUGAGUGUAGGGAGAAGUAAUAUGGCAGGUAUCUGGUGGCCAAAUUAGAUUGUGCCAGAAACUGGCUAGGUGCUCUGUGGUCCCUUUUGCUCUUCUUGGACACCCAGCUUCCCUUAUACUUACACAUUUGGUGCUUGUCAACUGCUGUCACAUUCUUAAAAUUGACAAGUGGAAAUUCUUGAAGUUGACAAGGGGAAGAACUGACAUUACUUCCACUUUGGCUUGAGGACAGUUAGACAUGAUGUCUCAAGUGUUGGAUCAUAUGACCUGUAAGGAUUUGUCUGUUAGGCAGUAGACCUACCUAUAGUUAUGAAACUCUUCUUUAUGACCUAUUUUUAAGAAUAAAAAAUUUAAAAUGCACCAAAUAAUACAAAUUGGGUUUUGGCCACGUUGAGUCUAAUGUUCCAGAGACCCUUGAAUGAAGGUUAUGAAUAGGCAGGACUAGACACACAAUUAUGGUGCUGGGGAGACUUUCAGGUUAUAAGAGUCCAAAACGUAGCAUCUGAUGUAUGGAUGAGUAUGGAAUUGUGGGUUAGAUUUAGGAGGAGGAACCUCUUGGUCAUGGUGUCAAUUAAAGUGCAAGGAAGGAAAGGAUAGGGUGGGCCCUGAGGACUGGUUAUAUUGUGUGGGCAAGUAGGUGAGAAUGGUGGGCCUCACAAGGACAGGAGAGGGAAAUAGUGGCCAUAGGGGUGCAUAUAGGGAAGAUCGGGGUCUGGCAGGUGGCCAGGUAUUCUGGGGGGAGUGGAUUUGAGAUGUAUGCUGAAGUUCAGCAGAAAUGGAAGUACAAUUACAAUAAAGCCUGGACUGGUGCUUAUUCACCCUUCUGUGGGCAUAUCUGGCUUUUGACCUGGUACUACUGGUGAUGAAGGGACAGAAUGUACAAUACAGAUGAGAAAACUCUUGAGGGUGUAGUUAUGACUGAGAUUGAAGCCAGAAACAGGGCCCAGCCUAGAGGGAGGCCUUCAAAGCAGGAUUGGGUGCUGCCCUUGCCAGUGCGUUCAGUUACAUCUCCCCUAAGAGACAUGUUGAAGUGCUACCACAUAGGACCUCCAGAUGUGACCUCACUUGGAAAUAGUCGUUAUAGAGCUAAUCAAGCCAAAAUGAGGUCAUUAGAAUGGGCCUUAACCCACAAUGACUGGUAUCCUUAGAAAAAGGGGGAAAUGGACACAGAGACAUAUUCACAGCAGGAAGAUGAUGUGAAGACACAGAAGAUGACCAGGUGGCUGGAGUGAGGCAUGUACAAGCCAAGGAACACCCAGGACUGCCAGAAAACACCAGAAGCCAGUUAAGGGCCUGGCUCAGAACCAGAGAGCAUGGGCCUGCUGACACCUUGAUUUCAGACUUCUAGCCUCCAGAACUGUGAGAUAAUUAAUUUCUAUUAUUCAAUUGUGUGGUACUUUGUUACAGCACAAUGAGGAAACUAAUACAGAAGGCCUUGGGCAGGAUGGGAUCCUGGUUACACUUGCAAAACACUCUCCGAAUGCCAUCUGCAGAGUGACUUGUGGGGAAUCCAUGGAGAAAGCUAUGGUAUGGGCCAGGGUUGGGUAGCAGUGGUGAUGAGGGUUCAUGGGUGGGGUCUAGAAUUGUGAGGAAAGUGCAGUCUAAAGAGUAAUGUGCAUGUGGGGAGGAGGUGUUAACUGUUGGCUCCAGGGUCCUGUUAUUAGGGCUUAAAGAAAGCUGAGCCCACAUCUGUUUGUAUCUGGGAGCUAUGAUCUUGGUGACAACAGGAGAUGGGGUUGGACCCUGUGUAUUAAUCAUGUCUUUUUAUUUUCUAUAUUUAUGAUGUGUUGACAUUUAGGGGGGGUUGCUAAUCCUAGAGAGACUGCCCCUCUCAGAGCUAAGCUAAUUCCUAGAGGCAGGAAACAAGGUACCUGCGAGCAAUUCUUUGAUACGCAAACCAACCAAACAGGGUCCUUUCCACCAACCAUGUCAUUUUAUCAGGGUUGUGCAGCCUGGAACACUAUCCCCUUGUGCUAAAUCAUCCCAGGAUCAGGUCAACUGCCCAGAGCUUACAAAAUUAUUCAAACUCUCUAAUCCUAAACCUGCUGAGCUUGUCUACCCUGGUUUGUCAAUUCCUUUCUGACAAAAACCACAAUAGUCUCUGGCCCUGCUUCCUCCUCACACCUCCUGCCUCCUGACCAACCCUGUUUCCUCCCCACGUGGCCCUGCAUGGCUUGCCACGCUCCUUCUUAGGAAUUGUAAGUAAUAAACUCUUCUUUCAUAGAGAGUUUUCUCCAUGUCUGUCAUCUUACCUUACCUAUUUAAAUAAAUCCCGGGUAUACCUUAAAAUACCCUGCAUACCAAGGGUAUCUAUCUAUCCUAGGCCUGUCUGUCGUCACUGUGGGUUAACACAGUGAUCAAUAGGUAAGAGCUGAGAGAGCACAAGUGGCACCAGUAUCUGUAUUGCCUCUGACUUGGGUAGUUGGGGAAGAGGUUGAGCUUGGGAUGGACAUAUGGGAGGAUGGACUGGACCCUGAUGAUCAUGGAAUCAGCUGCCCUCACACUGUGUGACCUUUGAGGCUAUCACUGUUUAAUUUUCCCUGGGGAACUGAGGACUGUUUGAUGAGGCCGAGAGAAUCCUGAACUGUGAAAUGAUACUGGACAACACUGUACUUAGAGCUUCACUGGGCGGGAGGCUUCUCAUGGACCCUGGGGACCUGAGCUGAUUCCUGCCUAUCCCCUUCUCCCCAGAGGUAGCUCUUAUUCCCACAGCUGGAGCAGAGUCCAUCCCCACUUUCCCAGCAUAUGGGUUCUAGGGCUGAGCUGUAUACACUACUCCAAGUAAUGCACUCCUCUACCAGCCCUGACAACUGCCACCCUGAAGCCCUGCAUAUAGGGGACCAAGAGUCCUUAGUCUUGAAGUCAGCCCAAUGGAUCCCAUCUGGCUUGGCCACUCCCUCCUCGGAUGGGGGCGUCUACCAUCACUAAACAGGAGUUGAAGCACCGCAUGACAUCAAGACUAGGUUCAGAGUUCCUUUUGCUGCUCAGUGGGUUAAGAACCUGACAAUUGGUUUUCAAAUAUCAAGCAAACCUUAUAUUUCUGAAAUAAACCCAUCUUUGUCAUGAUGCAUGAUCCUUUUAUAUAUUCCUGUAUUUGAUUUGCUAAAAUAUUAUUGGAAUUCCUGCAUGUAUAUUCAUAAGGAAUGUUGGACUGAAUUUUUCUUGUAAUGCUUUAGUCUGGUUGAGAUAUCAACAUAAAGCUAAGUCCACAGAAUAUAUUGGGUAAAUACUACCUACUCUUCCACCUUUUGGAAAAGUUUGUGUAGAAUUGCUAUUACUUCUUCCUUAAGUGUUUGGUAGAACUCACAGUGAAACCAUUUAAGCCUGC